UGAGGAAUAUUGGGCAAUGCCCGCAAGGGUGACCCAGCAACGCCGCGUGGAGGAUGAAUGUCGUAAGAUUGUAAACUCCUGUUAGAGGGGAAGAAUAGUGCCGGUUGGACCGGUAUAUGACUGUACCCUCAGAGAAAGCCCCGGCUAACUACGUGCCAGCAGCCGCGGUAAUACGUAGGGGGCAAGCGUUGUCCGGAUUUACUGGGUGUAAAGGGCGCGCAGGCAGGAUGUUAAGUCGGCGGUGAAAUUUUGCAGCUCAACUGUAAAAGUGCCUUCGAUACUGGCCUCCUUGAGUGUGGAUGAGGUAGGCGGAAUUUGUGGUGUAGCGGUGAAAUGCUUAGAUAUCACGAGGAACUCCGAUUGCGCAGGCAGCUUACUAAGCCACAACUGACGCUCAUGCACGAAGGCGUGGGGAUCAAACA
RNAcentral lists this ribosomal RNA (422 nucleotides) under uncultured bacterium. RNAcentral's name for it is "bacterial SSU rRNA". It matches the Rfam family "Bacterial small subunit ribosomal RNA", at positions 355 to 774 of the family's 1533-position model. The record is from RNAcentral.